CCGCCAGUCAGGGGCACCGUUCCGAGGCAAUCCUUGCCGGUGCAAAUCCCCCGAGGCUUCUCUCCGCCAGAGCGUAGAACAAAAUUGCCGGUUCCCCUGAGUUUUUGUCAGGCUUUGCUGGCGCUCGGGAGCAGGAACAAAGGGAAUGUGGAAAUGAAAGAGAGAGGGAGAGAGAGGCUGGCAGAUGUGAUGAGAUGCGGUGAAGGUGUAUCCAGCUUGGCACUCCCACUCCUCUCUUCUCCUCUCAUUGCAGCCCUGGGUGACUCUCAGGCUAACACAAACAGCUUUUCUUCCGCAGCCUGCCCUCUGUCACUGUCAGUUUCAUGAAUUCAAAAGCAACUUACCAGUGAUUUCUGGGAGCUGAGGCUGAUUUUCUUGUGUAUUUAUCAUGGACAACCAGAGCUAAAACGUAACUGUAGAGGAACCCUGGCACAACAAGGAAUCUGCUUCUCAGGGACAGUUCAACAGGGCUGGAGAGCCCUCCUGUACUGGUGUUUCUUGACUAGGCAGAUGAAUGCCUUGACAGUUUUCUCUGGUUAUUUUUCUCAGGAAUUGAAAAUGAAUGCAAAUUUUGAUCUCUGGUUUGCUGAUAUGCUCUAUUUUGCUGAUAUUCUUACUACUUGGACAACUGGCUGCUGACCAUUACUUUCUGUGAAUAAAAGCUAUGGGGAAGUAGGUGUUUUCUUCUAAGCAGUUUUUGUUAAAAUUGUCCUUUCAUCUCCAUGGUAUCAAAAGGGUACUUUGUAACAAAUAAGGGAACACAUCACCUUUAAAACAAUCUUAACUUUUGAUUAACCUAGGGUGACCACUGUGGCUUUUUUUAACCUUUAUUUCUGUGUUCUGAGGUUACCAAGAGCCUGUUUUCUAUGACACAGAUUUUUUUGUUGUGGUGCCUUAAUAAAACGUGCCAAAUGAU
Non-coding RNA from Cyanistes caeruleus (blue tit), 916 nucleotides. The record is from RefSeq and is a predicted model, not a curated record. Lineage: Eukaryota; Metazoa; Chordata; Aves; Passeriformes; Paridae.